RNAcentral lists this ribosomal RNA (497 nucleotides) under uncultured bacterium. RNAcentral describes it as "partial 16S ribosomal RNA". It matches the Rfam family "Bacterial small subunit ribosomal RNA", at positions 28 to 507 of the family's 1533-position model. The record is from RNAcentral.
GACGAACGCUGGCGGCGUGCCUAAUACAUGCAAGUUGAGCGCUGAAGGUUGGUACUUGUACCAACUGGAUGAGCAGCGAACGGGUGAGUAACGCGUGGGGAAUCUGCCUUUGAGCGGGGGACAACAUUUGGAAACGAAUGCUAAUACCGCAUAAAAACUUUAAACACAAGUUUUAAGUUUGAAAGAUGCAAUUGCAUCACUCAAAGAUGAUCCCGCGUUGUAUUAGCUAGUUGGUGAGGUAAAGGCUCACCAAGGCGAUGAUACAUAGCCGACCUGAGAGGGUGAUCGGCCACAUUGGGACUGAGACACGGCCCAAACUCCUACGGGAGGCAGCCGUAGGGAAUCUUCGGCAAUGGACGAAAGUCUGACCGAGCAACGCCGCGUGAGUGAAGAAGGUUUUCGGAUCGUAAAACUCUGUUGGUAGAGAAGAACGUUGGUGAGAGUGGAAAGCUCAUCAAGUGACGGUAACUACACAGAAAGGGACGGCUAACUACGUG